ACGAGUAGGGAUUUGCCGGUAGUGUAGGAAUAAGCAUCGGCUAACUCCGUGCCAGCAGCCGCGGUAAUACGGAGGAUGCAAGCGUUAUCCGGAUUUAUUGGGUUUAAAGGGUGCGCAGGCGGGGAAAUAAGUCAGUGGUGAAAUGCUGCCGCUUAACGGUAGAAUUGCCAUUGAUACUGUUUUUCUUGAGUAUGGUUGAGGUAGGUGGAAUGUGCAGUGUAGCGGUGAAAUGCAUAGAUAUUGCACAGAACUCCGAUUGCGAAGGCAGCUUACUAAGCCAUUACUGACGCUCAGGCACGAAAGCGUGGGUAGCGAACAGGAUUAGAUACCCUGGUAGUCCACGCUGUAAACGAUGUUCACUCGCUGUUUGCGAUAGACAGCAAGCGGCUGAGCGAAAGCAUUAAGUGAACCACCUGGGGAGUACGAUCGCAAGGUUGAAACUCAAAGGAAUUGACGGGGGCCCGCACAAGCGGAGGAACAUGUGGUUUAAUUCGAUGAUACGCGAGGAACCUUACCUGGGCUUAAAUGUAGAUUGCAUGAUUUGGAAACAGAUCUUCCCUUCGGGGCUAUUUACAAGGUGCUGCAUGGUUGUCGUCAGCUCGUGCCGUGAGGUGUCGGGUUAAGUCCCAUAACGAGCGCAACCCUUACUGUUAGUUGCCAACGGGUAAAGCCGGGGACUCUAGCGGGACUGCCACCGUAAGGUGAGAGGAAGGUGGGGAUGACGUCAAAUCAGCACGGCCCUUAUGUCCAGGGCUACACACGUGUUACAAUGGCCGGUACAAAGGGCAGCUACCUGGUGACAGGAUGCUAAUCCCAAAAGCCGGUCCCAGUUCGGAUUGGAGUCUGCAACCCGACUCCAUGAAG
RNAcentral lists this ribosomal RNA (864 nucleotides) under uncultured bacterium. RNAcentral's name for it is "bacterial SSU rRNA". It matches the Rfam family "Bacterial small subunit ribosomal RNA", at positions 457 to 1325 of the family's 1533-position model. The record is from RNAcentral.